CUAACGCAAAACAUCGACUUGCACAGUACAUAAGAAGAAUCACACAUCAUUUACGAAUUAAUUUACAUGAAACCGAAUAUUUCCGUUGAUUUCUGCAUGAUACAUCCAGGUAUUUAGCAGAAUAAAGCACCUCAGAGCCACCUACAGAAAUUCACAGUUAUUAUGCCCCCUGAGUUGAGAUACACUAUGUAGCCUCUCUAUAUAGCAUACUUCUAGAAAAACAAUAAUAAGACUUCCAAAUGCUCGGAAGAGUCACGCCUGGAAUUCUAACUUGGAAGAGUUUCGGGAUAAGGAUCUGGAUCUUGAAGGUUGUCUAAGAUGACAUCGAAGCUGGUAGUAUGCUUUCUCCAAAUGGAUCAGUUCCUGUUACGAAGAACCAGAAUAAAUCUGUUAGGAUUCUGUAUUUUUUACAGCCUGUCCUUAGUUUAUUCGGAAAACGUUAAUAUUAUCAAAGCUUGGAGAGUGGUAUUGUAUUAACUUUCUCUCUUUAUAGAGGUAUAACAUGGGUUCUCAAAUAAAUUCAAUGUUACUCAA
Limulus polyphemus (Atlantic horseshoe crab) is the source of this 534-nucleotide long non-coding RNA. RefSeq lists it as uncharacterized. Lineage: Eukaryota; Metazoa; Arthropoda; Merostomata; Xiphosura; Limulidae. The record is from RefSeq and is a predicted model, not a curated record. The transcript is spliced from 2 exons.